GACGAACGCUGGCGGCGUGCUUAACACAUGCAAGUCGAGCGAGAAACCUUCGGGUUUCUAGCGGCGGACGGGUGAGUAACACGUGGGUAACCUGCCUCAAAGUGGGGGAUAGCCUUUCGAAAGGAAGAUUAAUACCGCAUAACAUUGUAGCUUCGCAUGGAGCCACAAUUAAAGGAGAAAUCCGCUUUGAGAUGGACCCGCGGCGCAUUAGCUAGUUGGAGAGGUAACGGCUCACCAAGGCAACGAUGCGUAGCCGACCUGAGAGGGUGAUCGGCCACAUUGGAACUGAGACACGGUCCAGACUCCUACGGGUGGCUG
This 318-nucleotide ribosomal RNA is filed under the name uncultured Bacillota bacterium. RNAcentral's name for it is "bacterial SSU rRNA". It matches the Rfam family "Bacterial small subunit ribosomal RNA", at positions 28 to 351 of the family's 1533-position model. Lineage: Bacteria; Bacillati; Bacillota. The record is from RNAcentral.